CAAGGGUGUUCUACCACCUAGAUAUACACCAGUGCUUUUUGACUUUUGAGUCACAUCUUGCUAAGUUGCCAAGGCUGGUUUUGAACUUAUGAUCCUCCUAACUCAUCCUCCCAAGUAGCUGGGAUAACAGACUCCCCUAAACUCACCUGGGUCCCACCUCUCAAAGGCUCCAUCGCAACCAUCCAAUAGCAUUAAUCCAGGGACUAAGCCUUUAACACAUGGGCACUUGGGAGAUAUUCCAGAUCCAAGCCAUAGCAGCUUUCUCGCUGGUCUCUAACCUUCUGUAAUCUCAGGAGUAAUUGCACACAGUCCCUGUGCCUCCAUCGCUUCAGCCUCAGAGGAUCAAACUCUCCACAGCCUCUCAAAGAAACUGGACUAGAGGUAUAGGAAUGGGUAAAACAUCCCCAACUUUAGUGUAUGCCUGUGUUCAUCAGAAGGUGAAUAAGAGUCUAAUGAUUGUAAAAUUGUCUAAUACCUAUUGAUUCUUUUAUAUCCUCUUUGUGGACUAGGGAUUUGUGAAGCUGGCAGAAUUUGCAUGGUGAAACAAGUUCUAAAGCUUUGUCUGUAGAAAUCUCCAUCUUCAUUUGGUAACUCACUUGGUGAUUUUUCAGCUUUGAAAUCUUGGUGCUGGUCGUUAUUUCCUGAGGCAUGGCCCUUCUGAUUUAUUGGGGUUUUUGGGAGAUGCAGUGACAUCACUGAUGCUUGAUAGGUCCCAAGAAGAGUGCCC
RNAcentral lists this long non-coding RNA (727 nucleotides) under Marmota monax (woodchuck). Lineage: Eukaryota; Metazoa; Chordata; Mammalia; Rodentia; Sciuridae. The record is from RNAcentral.